CUAUUCUUCCAAUCCAGUAUCAUUUGUACGUUGCAGCAUCAUCGAACACUAUGACCCAUGAAUCAGAAGAUAACGUAGAUGCUACGAGAGAGCUCAUUUCACAAUGGACAACAGAAGUGUUACGUGACUUUCUACAAGGAGGGGACUCAAGCUUGGAAAUCGAGUACCGGUAGUCAUUAUUUUAUGGGUGUUCUCUGCCUUGACUCUGGGGGUACUGUUCAGCCAUCCGAGGUAGAGAUAAACUGGACGAUGGAUGGAGGGGGGGGGGGGGGAGAAAGGCAUGCAGACUGCAGAGCUGGUCGUCUACUAUGUAUAGAGACAUUUGUGUGUACCUAGUAGAUAAGGACCCUCCAUCACUAGAGGGAAGAAUGAGAGACUACAAAGAGGGAAAGGCAUUUAGUUAUUUUGCCAGUUUCUGGUUAGGGAGAUAUUUUUUUCAUCUCGUGGGAGAAAGCUGUCUGUAAUUCAAAAUCAUUUGAUACUUGAAUAAAUUUAGUUCAUUUUCUAGACUGUUUCAUGUCAAACCGUUGAUUCUACUUUCUUGUGAGUAUAGUCAGAGAGAUAGAGAAGUAACACGAGUAAAGAAUGAAAAAGAAGCUAAUGUUUGAACGAGGAGGAGAAAAUGGAGAUUACGUUGUUGCCCAUAGAGUUGGAAUAGUUGUUCUUACCACUUUUUAUUAAAUGAUUGUGACCAUUUGGUU
Strongylocentrotus purpuratus (purple sea urchin) is the source of this 701-nucleotide long non-coding RNA. RefSeq lists it as uncharacterized. The transcript has 2 exons. The record is from RefSeq and is a predicted model, not a curated record. NCBI's taxonomy places the organism in Eukaryota, Metazoa, Echinodermata, Echinoidea, Camarodonta, Strongylocentrotidae.